UCCCGUUUAGCUCAGUUGGUAGAGCGCGUCACUAGUCGAGGUCAGUCGUUCGAGUCGGCUAAUGGGAA
Molecule: transfer RNA, 68 nt
Filed under: Ganoderma lucidum Xiangnong No.1
Lineage: Eukaryota; Fungi; Basidiomycota; Agaricomycetes; Polyporales; Polyporaceae
Description: tRNA-Und (NNN) (tRNA-Und-NNN-4-1)
Rfam family: tRNA
About the family: Transfer RNA (tRNA) molecules are approximately 80 nucleotides in length. Their secondary structure includes four short double-helical elements and three loops (D, anti-codon, and T loops).
Source: RNAcentral